RNAcentral lists this ribosomal RNA (475 nucleotides) under Brevibacillus panacihumi. Its description in RNAcentral is "bacterial SSU rRNA". It matches the Rfam family "Bacterial small subunit ribosomal RNA", at positions 49 to 518 of the family's 1533-position model. Lineage: Bacteria; Bacillati; Bacillota; Bacilli; Caryophanales; Paenibacillaceae. The record is from RNAcentral.
CUAUACAUGCAGUCGAGCGAGGGUCUUCGGACCCUAGCGGCGGACGGGUGAGUAACACGUAGGCAACCUGCCCAUAAGACUGGGAUAACAUAGGGAAACUUAUGCUAAUACCGGAUAGAGUCUUCUCCCGCAUGAGAGGAGACGGAAAGGUGGCGCAAGCUACCACUUAUGGAUGGGCCUGCGGCGCAUUAGCUAGUUGGUGGGGUAACGGCCCACCAAGGCGACGAUGCGUAGCCAACCUGAGAGGGUGACCGGCCACACUGGGACUGAGACACGGCCCAAACUCCUACGGGAGGCAGCAGUAGGGAAUUUUCCACAAUGGACGAAAGUCUGAUGGAGCAACGCCGCGUGAACGAUGAAGGUCUUCGGAUUGUAAAGUUCUGUUGUCAGGGACGAACAAGUACCGUUCGAAUAGGGCGGUACCUUGACGGUACCUGACGAGAAAGCCACGGCUAACUACGUGCCAGCAACACAC